This 669-nucleotide ribosomal RNA is filed under the name Triticum aestivum (bread wheat). RNAcentral describes it as "partial small subunit ribosomal RNA". Lineage: Eukaryota; Viridiplantae; Streptophyta; Magnoliopsida; Poales; Poaceae. The record is from RNAcentral.
AUGCUAGAUUCCUGGAUGUGCAUUGAGCAGAUCCUUCGUAGUGUCUCUUAUAAUGGGGAUGAUGAUGCGCUCAUUUGGCAAUAUGACUCUAAGGGAGUGUAUACUACUACCUCCUUGUACAGCAUCAUUAACUUCAGGAGGGUCCAGCCCAUUUACAUACCUUCUGUCUGGUCCAUUGUGUUCCCACCCAGAGUGCAAAUUUUUCUCUUGCUACUGGCUCACCACAAAUUAAUGACCAGAGAUAAUUUGGAUAAGAGAAACAUGGGGAAACCUUUGAUCUGUGAGUUUUGCACUGACAAUGAGAGCAUUGACCACCUCUUUUUUGGGUGUGCUGUAGCUAAAAGCAUCUGGAAAGAUGAGUCUGCUUUCUUUAAAAUUCCUGUAGGGCAAGACUACCUUUCUGUAGCAAGAUUUUGGCCUGCUAGCAAGAAACAAUGUGCUUUGAAUUCCAUCUGCGCUUGUAUAUUGUGGGGCAUUUGGAAAACUAGAAAUGCACAUGUGUUUAAAAAUGCUGUCUGGUCUGAUAUUAAGCAGGUUUGGAGACGUAUCCUCGUGAUGAUCAAGAAAUGGAUGAUCAUGUUCAAAAAGGAUUACCUCCCCCAGAUCGAGGCAUUCGUCCAGUGGGUCUCGGAGAAGCUCAAGAACCCCUUCCAGCUAUCGAUGGGGUGA